This is an unclassified non-coding RNA of Pongo abelii (Sumatran orangutan), 148 nucleotides long. It matches the Rfam family "Metazoan signal recognition particle RNA". From Rfam's summary of the family: The signal recognition particle (SRP) is a universally conserved ribonucleoprotein. The record is from Ensembl. Lineage: Eukaryota; Metazoa; Chordata; Mammalia; Primates; Hominidae.
GCUGGGCAUGGUGGCGCGCGCCUGUAGUCCCAGCUACUGGGGAGGCUGAGGCAUAAGAAUUGCUUGAACCCGGGAGGCGGAGGUUGCAGUGAGCCAAGAUUGUGCCACUGCACUCCAGCCUGGGUGACAGAGCAAGACUCUGUCUCAA